CAGCCAUAUAACAUGGAAAAACCAGUUCCCAUAUGAUCACCAAAGUUAAGCAACAUCAAGCCUGGUCAGUGCCUAGAUCAGUGACUGCUUGGGAAUACCAGGUGCUGUAAG
Molecule: non-coding RNA, 111 nt
Organism: Acanthosepion pharaonis
Lineage: Eukaryota; Metazoa; Mollusca; Cephalopoda; Sepiida; Sepiidae
Source: the annotation of a GenBank genome assembly